This 433-nucleotide ribosomal RNA is filed under the name uncultured bacterium. RNAcentral's name for it is "partial 16S ribosomal RNA". It matches the Rfam family "Bacterial small subunit ribosomal RNA", at positions 29 to 507 of the family's 1533-position model. The record is from RNAcentral.
AACGAACGCUGGCGGCAUGCCUAACACAUGCAAGUCGAACGAGACCUUCGAGUCUAGUGGCGCACGGGUGCGUAACGCGUGGGAACCUGCCCUUAGGUUCGGAAUAACUCCCCGAAAGGGGUGCUAAUACCGGAUAAUGUCUUCGGACCAAAGAUUUAUCGCCUUUGGAUGGGCCCGCGUUGGAUUAGCUAGUUGGUAGGGUAAAAGCCUACCAAGGCGACGAUCCAUAGCUGGUCUGAGAGGAUGAUCAGCCACACUGGGACUGAGACACGGCCCAGACUCCUACGGGAGGCAGCAGUGGGGAAUAUUGGACAAUAGGCGAAAGCCUGAUCCAGCAAUGCCGCGUGAGUGAUGAAGGCCUUAGGGUUGUAAAGCUCUUUUACCCGGGAUGAUAAUGACAGUACCGGGAGAAUAAGCUCCGGCUAACUCCGUG